UCUUCAAUUUCUCUUUCAAGUGCUCUCCCUUGUUUAUCAAUUUCAGGGAGCCUUAGUCUGUCUCAUUCUCUCUCUGUAGCAUUCAGCCUCCUCAAUAAUCCAACAAUGAUAUGCCUCUUAUGAUCACCUAUUGGAGGAUUAAACCACAAAAAGAAUUACAAUUCCGAAUAGCUUUUGAGAUCUGCAAAUUGUAAAUAAUAAUAAUCACUACUCACUACUAAAAGAAAAAAUAAUUCAAUACCCUCAUACUUACCCUAAAAUUUUUACAGGCAAAAAAUAUAUCCUUUCUAGAAUUGAUUCUGUCUAUGAAAUUUUCAAUUCAGCUUGCUCUCUACAAUUGCAUAGAAACACUACAAAUUAGGGAGGCAAAUUUUCCAUCUCACCUCAACCUUUUAGUUUGAGUAUUUAAUUUGGGGUUCUACAAAGAAUUAAGAAGAAUAUGAUCAAUUGAGUAUUUUAAAAGAAGAAAUUUGAGAAGAAAUUACAUUAAGAAAAUAAUCAAUUUUAGAAUUAGGGUUAGGAAAUUUGUAUGAAAGGCAGGAAGGCUAUUUUACCAUAAAUAUAGCCGUUCUUAUUUUAGCCACAGCAUCACACCAAACUUCAUCCACUUUGCGUGUAUACAUGCAAAUCUAGAAGUCAGCAAAUCUGUGUUUAAGUGGUUCGAAAAAGCAGUUUAGGUGGCUAGUUGGCACAAAUAAAAAAUCAGGUGGCCAAAUUACUAUUUAACAAAGUUCAGAGGGCCACGUCGGCCAACAUUAAUCUUAUCUAGCAUUUGGACCGGGUAAAAGCUCAAAAGAAGAAAAGAAAAUAAAGGGGGAAACACAUAUACAAAUGGCUAGAUUAUCAAGAGUUAGGCUUUACCUGCAUCCAAGUGGCUGUGCAAAAGAAAUACUGCAUCACAUUGGUAUUUUCUUACUUCCACUCCCUGCUGUCUUAGCCUUAC
This 943-nucleotide long non-coding RNA is filed under the name Ricinus communis (castor bean). RNAcentral describes it as "long non-coding RNA (RCOM_LNC002649)". The record is from RNAcentral. Lineage: Eukaryota; Viridiplantae; Streptophyta; Magnoliopsida; Malpighiales; Euphorbiaceae.